Long non-coding RNA from Oncorhynchus mykiss (rainbow trout), 2443 nucleotides. RefSeq lists it as uncharacterized. Lineage: Eukaryota; Metazoa; Chordata; Actinopteri; Salmoniformes; Salmonidae. The record is from RefSeq and is a predicted model, not a curated record.
UAUUUGUCAGGUGUCAUUGUAAUUGUCUGUUUUUUCUCACAAGGCUGAAAUAUGUGCCCUCGCUUUGAAAUGUUACCAAGGUUUGUUUGUAUUUCAUCCAAACUAUCUGUGUUAAAAAGUGAUGGCUACAGCAUAUGUCAUUUCUUCCACUUUUUGAGUGACCCAAAGUUCAAGCUGCUUGUCUAUUUGGUGAAAAUGCAAUGUCUGUUUAUCAGACUCACUUUGACUUUAAAUGGCGCACCAAGACUUGUUCCUUUGCUUACGGCCAUACCGGUCUGAGUGAUCACUUCCUGUUUGGAAAGUGAGACAGGUGUUGGUAAUUAAGUCGUGAGUGAGUGAGUGAGUGAGUGAGUGAGCGAGUGAGUGAGUGUUUGUUUGCUUGAGAGCUUUUUUGGUUAUUUUCAACGUUUUUUGAAGUAUAAUUUAGAUUUUUGCAUUUGAAAAAGUUUAAGUUUGAUUCGUUUUUCCCCCUUUGCAGUUUUGCUGCUUGGGCGAAAGUUUUUGGCCUCUUUUUUUUUGUUUAAUAUGACGGACAACAUGGCAAUGACUAACGGAAUGGACAAGGACAAAGAAAAUGCUCAACGUAAGAAACAUGGAGAUGAAGGAGGAAUGAAAUAUGGCAAAGAUUUUACAGUGGCAGUGGAGUUGAUGGGAGAAGAUACAUUUACAACGAUGGAAUUACUACGUGCGAUUAAAGAGGUGUGUGGAGAGGUGGUGGGAUGUAGAGUAAAAGGAGAAAGAAAGUACGAGGUCACGAUGAGAAAUGGAAAAGGAAAAGAGCACUUAAUGGAUGGCUUUAUGACUAAAGAAACAAGAAUAAUGGCAUUAGACAUGGUUUCCAAUUAACUAAUAGUCUCUUUCAUGAAUCUGCUUGUAUACAUGGAAGAGAGUGCUAUAUUGGCCAAGCUAUGUAGCUGGGGUGUAUCAGCAGUCUCUGAAAUCAGGAGGAGAGUUUGGCCAGGGACGGAUAUAGCAGAUUGCACGAGAUACUGCAAAGUGAAAUUCACUGAUACUGUGAAAUCAUUACCGUACUCUACAAAGUUUGACACACUUGAAGGUGGAGAGUACUUUAGAGUUAUACACGAUAAGCAGGUCAGAGUUUGUAGGCUUUGUAUUCAGCCUUGAAGGACUGCCCUGAAUUCAGAUGUUAUAAGUGCGGGAAGCAAGGGCAUUAUGCAAGAAAAUGUGAAGGUGGAAAGGAAAGGGCAUUUUGCAAAGGAUGUCGGAUGAGAACUAACGAGUGCAACUGCGGAGAGGUUGUGAAUGAGGAGGGGAGCCAGGACCUUUUUGUGGAAGCUGAUGUAUCACCACGAGCAGAAGAAGACGAUGGAGGAGAGGACGUGGUGGAGGGUGGAGAGACGGAGAAAAGAAGAUGUGAGAAGAUGGAACAGGAGACUCAUUAAAUAGGGAGCAGUAUGGAUUCAGAAAUAAGAAGAGGGAGUUUUCAGGAGGAGGGGGGAAGUGGGCUGGGUGGAGGCACUGGGGACUCACAGAUUUUUUUUGUGUGUGGGGGGGGGGGGGGGGGGGGGGGCUCGGGCUAUGUGGGUGCCUCGGAAGGAGGUGAAGUGGAGGGGAGUGGGACGCUGACAACGAUACAGGAGACGGAAAUGGAUACAGGAAGCACAACAGGCAUAGGAAAGAAGAAUUUGAGUUGGUUGGAAGAGAUGGAUUUUGAGUCAAUUUCAGAUUCAGAAGACAUGGAAAAGAUUGAUAGAACAAGGGGAGGCUACAGGAAGAGGAAAGCGUCGGUGUCGGUGAAAAAGAACGGAAAAGGAAGAAAACAUGACAACAGGGAAAUCCGAAAGCCGUGCACGGACGGGUCUUGACUCGUUAUUUAAAGACCUGGCCUCUGGAUUGAGGUUUAAAAAAACAGGCCAGUAUUGAUCUGAAGGCAACAGAGAAGGUGACGGAAUCGAACCGGCAUUGCUUUUCCCAGUCUACAGGACGAAGAUUUUAUGCACUACAGGUGAAUUACAGGUGAAGUCACUCAAUCCAGUCCCUGAGGCCUGUUGGGGGGAACAUACCAAGGACUCCUGGUGACAGCUAGCUGAAAGAGCUACCCGGAUUCAUAUCACACUGCGGGAGGGUAAGACACAUUGAGACUGUCGAACAAUAACAGUGUUCGAGAGGAGAACUGGAAUUAACAGAAUUCUGGGGGCUAUCUCUCGAAUGAAGAUUUCCUUACCUGUCAUUCCAUCCCUGUUUUUGUUCAUAGAAGUGAAAGUGUGUCUGGCUCUUGCUAAUGAUGUGUUCUCUGGAAGAGGGUAGGGCUUUAUGGGUGGGCUGUCCAUCCUGAGCUGUCUGGUUGUGGGACCUUAUUCCUGAUACCCCACCAUACCCCUGUCUGCGCAUUAUGCCCUGAAUAUAUUCUACCAUGCCCAGAAAUCUGCUCCUUUUAUUCUUUGUCCCCAACACUCUAGGCGACCAGUUUUGAUAGCCUUUA